Molecule: ribosomal RNA, 449 nt
Filed under: uncultured organism
Description: partial 16S ribosomal RNA
Rfam family: Bacterial small subunit ribosomal RNA
Source: RNAcentral
ACUCCUGCGGGAGGCAGCAGUGGGGAAUAUUGGACACUGGGCGCAAGCCUGAUCCAGCCAUGCCGCGUGAGUGAUGAAGGCCCUAGGGUUGUAAAGCUCUUUCACCGGUGAAGAUAAUGACGGUAACCGGAGAAGAAGCCCCGGCUAACUUCGUGCCAGCAGCCGCGGUAAUACGAAGGGGGCUAGCGUUGUUCGGAUUUACUGGGCGUAAAGCGCACGUAGGCGGACUAUUAAGUCAGGGGUGAAAUCCCGGGGCUCAACCCCGGAACUGCCUUUGAUACUGGUAGUCUUGAGUUCGAGAGAGGUGAGUGGAAUUCCGAGUGUAGAGGUGAAAUUCGUAGAUAUUCGGAGGAACACCAGUGGCGAAGGCGGCUCACUGGCUCGAUACUGACGCUGAGGUGCGAAAGCGUGGGGAGCAAACAGGAUUAGAAACCCCAGUAGUCCCAUGA